AAAAAAGUGAAAUGAGAAUUGAAAACAUUUGUAGUUGUAUAUUACUAUAUGAUUUUAUCAAUCAUUGAGAAGUCAAGUCGAAUCCUCGGUUGAAAGAUUCGUUUGCCUCUCUAUUACCCCCGCAUGUAAAUCUCAGAUUCCGCUCUAUUUGCAAAUAAAUUCUAUGUAUUGCAUCUCUGCAAUCCCACAAUUCCUGUAUAGAUGUUCAUAAUUUAUUUUAACUUUACCUGUUGCAAUAGCCAAAAUCUGUUUAUUGUUUAAUUAUAUAUACUAUGAUUAGUCCACUAUCCUUGGCUGUGUUGUCCCUUUAUAUUAAAUUAUGGGGAUGGUUCUUCUUAGCUUAUUGCUUUAAAUCGUGCUCUUAACAGGGGAAGAACCCUACAGCUCGAAUUGAACACGAAGCCAGCACCUCCAAGAUCGGUGAAGAUCAGCUAUUUUAUUUCCAGCAGAGGGGAAUCGACUAUGAGAAAGCCAUGGCAGCUAUGAUAUCUGGCUUUUGUAAAGAUGUAUUUAAUGAGCUCCCUGAUGAGUUUGGUGCUGAAGUGAACCAACUCAUGAGCUUAAAGCUUGAAG
This 573-nucleotide long non-coding RNA is filed under the name Daucus carota (carrot). Its description in RNAcentral is "long non-coding RNA (DCAR_LNC001559)". Lineage: Eukaryota; Viridiplantae; Streptophyta; Magnoliopsida; Apiales; Apiaceae. The record is from RNAcentral.